GUCUGCCUAGGGGGCUGGCUAGGGCUGCCUAGGGGGCUGGCUAGGGCUGCCUAGGGGCUGGCUGCCUAGGGGCUGGCUAGGGCUGCCUAGGGGCUGGCUAGGGUAGGCUU
MicroRNA precursor from Caenorhabditis elegans, 110 nucleotides. Lineage: Eukaryota; Metazoa; Nematoda; Chromadorea; Rhabditida; Rhabditidae. The record is from Ensembl.